Molecule: ribosomal RNA, 253 nt
Filed under: uncultured bacterium
Lineage: Bacteria
Description: partial 16S ribosomal RNA
Rfam family: Bacterial small subunit ribosomal RNA
Source: RNAcentral
UACGUAGGGUGCCAGCGUUGUUCGGAUUCAUUGGGCGUAAAGCGCGUGUAGGCGGCCUGGUAGGUCCGAUGUGAAAUCUGGAGGCUCAACCUCCAGCGGUCAUUGGAAACCAUCUGGCUAGAGUCCGGAAGAGGAGAGUGGAAUUCCUGGUGUAGCGGUGAAAUGCGCAGAUAUCAGGAGGAACACCAAUUGCGAAGGCAGCUCGCUGGGACGUAACUGACGCUGAGACGCGAAAGCGUGGGGAGCAAACAGG